Molecule: long non-coding RNA, 227 nt
Organism: Capra hircus (goat)
Lineage: Eukaryota; Metazoa; Chordata; Mammalia; Artiodactyla; Bovidae
Exons: 3
Source: RefSeq, a predicted model, not a curated record
AGAGAAUCCUGGCAUGCUGCAGUCCACGGGGUCACAAAGAGUCGGACAUGAUGGAGCGGCUGAACAAGACAAGAUACCUGUUCCUCCUGAGGCCUUUUAUCACAUUCAUUUGUGUACCUGCCUUAUCUCCUUUAUGAUUGUGAGCUCUUUGAAGGAUUGUGUUCAUCUUUGAAUCCUCAAUUAACCUUAGUCAUCAAAUAAAAGAUUUUAGAUUUGAAGCAUUUCAG